UACAGAGGGUGCGAGCGUUAAUCGGAAUUACUGGGCGUAAAGCGUGCGUAGACGGUUAUUUAAGUCGGGUGUGAAAUCCCCGGGCUCAACCUGGGAACUGCAUCCGGGACUGCAUUGCUAGAGUAUGGGAGAGGGAAGCGGAAUUUCUGGUGUAGCAGUGAAAUGCGUAGAUAUCAGAAGGAACAUCAGUGGUGAAGGCGGCUUCCUGGACCAAUACUGACGAUCAGGUGCGAAAGCGUGGGGAGCAAACAGG
Molecule: ribosomal RNA, 253 nt
Filed under: uncultured bacterium
Lineage: Bacteria
Description: partial 16S ribosomal RNA
Rfam family: Bacterial small subunit ribosomal RNA
Source: RNAcentral